Molecule: ribosomal RNA, 379 nt
Filed under: uncultured bacterium
Lineage: Bacteria
Description: bacterial SSU rRNA
Rfam family: Bacterial small subunit ribosomal RNA
Source: RNAcentral
GACGAACGCUGGCGGCGUGCUUAACACAUGCAAGUCGAGCGGUAAGGCCCUUUCGGGGGUACACGAGCGGCGAACGGGUGAGUAACACGUGGGUGACCUGCCCUCAGCUCUGGGAUAAGCCUGGGAAACUGGGUCUAAUACCGGAUAUGACUCCAUGACGCAUGUUGUGGGGUGGAAAGCCUUGUGCGGCUGAGGAUGGGCCCGCGGCCUAUCAGCUUGUUGGUGGGGNGAUGGCCUACCAAGGCGACGACGGGUAGCCGGCCUGAGAGGGCGACCGGCCACACUGGGACUGAGACACGGCCCAGACUCCUACGGGAGGCAGCAGUGGGGAAUCUUGCGCAAUGGGCGAAAGCCUGACGCAGCGACGCCGCGUGAGGGA